RNAcentral lists this long non-coding RNA (1239 nucleotides) under Monodelphis domestica (gray short-tailed opossum). Its description in RNAcentral is "lncRNA (ENSMODG00000046262.1)". Lineage: Eukaryota; Metazoa; Chordata; Mammalia; Didelphimorphia; Didelphidae. The record is from RNAcentral.
CCCAUGUUGGUAAAAAUAUUUUCUUCACCUUUCAGCAAGCAGACAAGAAACAGAAUAUUUCUGCAUGCUCUGAAGGGAAGAGCAGCCCCCUCUAUUAUAUGCCAUCAGGGCUUUCCAGAAGCAAAUUCCCCAAGGCUCCACCUGGGCUGGCAACAAAGAGUGCCCUGUCUGUAGGCUAAGAAUUGGGCUCUCAUUGGCCAGACCCAGGGCUAAACUGUAGGGACUAUGGUUAACAUUUCAGGGUGAGCAUUAAUACCUUGGAAAUCAGAAAGAAAUGGAGAAAGUGUUAAUAAUGCAGAUUAAACUUAAAAGGGUUAAUUUUUUGGUUUUUAAACAUAGGCUUGGACCCAGACCCUUCUCUUCCUUCUCUCCCCAUCCUUAAGCAGUCCCUAUCCUCAAUGAGCUUACGUUGUAAUCGCACCAAAGGAGUCCCAAGCUUUAAGAGAAACCAAGUAGACAACGGUUUUGGUAAAGGGAGAGAGCAUGGCAGGUAUGAUAGGCAAUCAUGUAAAGCUUGGGGAUGGAAUGUUUUGAUGGAGUGUUUGAGGAACAGUAAGCCAUUAUCACUUGAUUGUUGAGUACAUGGAAGAGAAUCAAGUAUGAGAAAACUGGAAAGAUGAGAAGGGGCCAGGUUGUGAAGAGCCUUGAAUGCUAAACAGAGGGUUUUAUAUUUGAUCUUGGAGGUUCUGGGACACUGAUUUUAAACAGCUCUAACUUCCUGAUUCUACAAGUCUUCUUCCCUGAUUAAUUUCCUCUACCGCUGGUUACUCCUUUAUUGAGUACCUUUACAAAGAAGAAGUAUGGGAAGAGAAUUUGCAUUUAUAUGGCAACUAUUAUAUGUCAGACACUAAGCUAAGUGUUGUUUUUUUUUUUUUACAAUUAUCUCACAAUACCCCUGUGAGAUUCCGGGAUCUUCCCUCAAGAGUAAAGAGAGAGAGUCUCUUUCAGAAAAGUGGCUGCAGGAUGGCUGUAAAGGUCAUAGCUCCAGUUCUAGAUUCUUUCCCUCCUCUACCCCUUUUUAAGAAGGUGAGUAAUUUGAUAUCAAUUAUACAUGUAAAAUUAUGCAAAACACAUUUUCAUGUUAGCCAUUUUAUAAAAGAAAACAUAGCCACUGUAAUGAUUAAAAUAGUUGGAGCCAUAAACUGUAACAUUUAAAAGAGCUGGUUGGCAUAAACUGAGACAGAUAAGAUAUGGUUUUUUUAUAUUAAAAAUAAAGUGGUCACCAGGGAAAAAUUCCCA